AUGACCGCCAACUUCUCGAUGACCCACAUUCAUCAAUUUGUUGAACUUUGGCUACUCAUCUCAGAGUUCUCACUCGAGGAGCACGCGGAAGAUGAGAUUACUUGGAAGCACACCACAGAUGGUCAAUACUCGGCGGCGACGGCUUACUUCACGCAAUUCCUGGGAACCUUCUACUCUCCUAUGGAUCACAUGGUUUGGACUGCUUGGGCACCGCCGAAGGUGAAAUUCUCUGCUUGGCUCGCAAUACAAGACAACAUCUGGACAACCGAUAGGUUGGCGCGUCGUGGAUGGCCAAACUGUCAUCUUUGCCCCCUAUGCAAAAGAGAACAAGAAUCCGGGCUACACCUCUUCGUCAAAUGUCGUUUCACCCUCCGCCUAUGA
RNAcentral lists this ribosomal RNA (381 nucleotides) under Triticum aestivum (bread wheat). RNAcentral's name for it is "partial small subunit ribosomal RNA". The record is from RNAcentral. Lineage: Eukaryota; Viridiplantae; Streptophyta; Magnoliopsida; Poales; Poaceae.